This 450-nucleotide ribosomal RNA is filed under the name uncultured bacterium. RNAcentral's name for it is "bacterial SSU rRNA". It matches the Rfam family "Bacterial small subunit ribosomal RNA", at positions 354 to 796 of the family's 1533-position model. The record is from RNAcentral.
GUGGGGAAUUUUGGACAAUGGGCGCAAGCCUGAUCCAGCAAUGCCGCGUGCAGGAAGAAGACCUUCGGGUUGUAAACUGCUUUUGUACGGAACGAAACGGUCCGGGUUAAUACCCUGGGCUAAUGACGGUACCGUAAGAAUAAGCACCGGCUAACUACGUGCCAGCAGCCGCGGUAAUACGUAGGGUGCAAGCGUUAAUCGGAAUUACUGGGCGUAAAGCGUGCGCAGGCGGUUUUGUAAGACAGGCGUGAAAUCCCCGGGCUCAACCUGGGAAUUGCGCUUGUGACUGCAAGGCUGGAGUGCGGCAGAGGGGGAUGGAAUUCCGCGUGUAGCAGUGAAAUGCGUAGAUAUGCGGAGGAACACCGAUGGCGAAGGUAAUCCCCUGGGCCUGCACUGACGCUCAUGCACGAAAGCGUGGGGAGCAAACAGGAUUAGAUACCCUUGUAGUCC